RNAcentral lists this ribosomal RNA (253 nucleotides) under uncultured bacterium. RNAcentral's name for it is "partial 16S ribosomal RNA". It matches the Rfam family "Bacterial small subunit ribosomal RNA", at positions 524 to 776 of the family's 1533-position model. The record is from RNAcentral.
UACGUAGGGUGCAAGCGUUGUCCGGAUUUACUGGGCGUAAAGGGCGCGUAGGCGGCGUGGUAAGUCACUUGUGAAAUCUCCGAGCUUAACUCGGAACGGUCAAGUGAUACUGCUGUGCUAGAGUGCAGAAGGGGCAAUCGGAAUUCUUGGUGUAGCGGUGAAAUGCGUAGAUAUCAAGAGGAACACCUGAGGUGAAGACGGGUUGCUGGGCUGACACUGACGCUGAGGCGCGAAAGCUAGGGUAGCAAACGGG